This 39612-nucleotide long non-coding RNA is filed under the name Triticum aestivum (bread wheat). Its description in RNAcentral is "long non-coding RNA (TAES_LNC020866)". The record is from RNAcentral. Lineage: Eukaryota; Viridiplantae; Streptophyta; Magnoliopsida; Poales; Poaceae.
ACAGUAGUUCUCCUAGUGCUACCUUAGCCGAUAUGACGGAACGUAAGGUACCAAAACAUAGGAGCUGGGCAAACCCAACUAUUGACCCAAGACAUGAUUCGGAGCCGAUGCAUAUAAUGAUAUAUGUUCGGGGUGCCGCACUUGUGAAAGUGUUCGGACUUCUCACACCAUGUUGUGGGGUACUUAAGCCCCUGGCGUAUUGGCCAUACCAAAGUGUAUGGGUGCAACAUGUCAUUAAUGAACAUAUAUUCAUAAAAAAGAGGUAAUGCGAUAAUAGACGGAAGCUAUGCAUUGUUUAUUUAAAAAAGCUGCCAUCAAAGCAGAACGAUACAAAUAGUGCGAUAAGCAAAAGAUGGGACUAUCAAAUAUGUCCUUUCCAGGGGCGAGCUGCGGAAUGUUAUGCGAAACAGGUAUACUGCUCGUUAUAGAGACCACCUUAGAGUUCCGUAGUGCGGCGUAGCUUUCUGCUUCCUUGGUUGUAUCAUUUGUGCGGCAAUUGUACUGUCGGACAAGCCUUCCGAAGAAUGGAGUCCUGAAAAUAAGAGAAAAUUUAAGAAAUCAACAGCCCCUAGUGCGGUUUAAGCCGCGUUUUGGGCGUGCCGUGAUGGUGCCCCUCCCCCUGUGCCCAUGGUAUUUCUAGAGCGUAGUUAUGUACGCGCGACACUGGUUUCGCAAGUUCGCGAGGGCUGGGGUUGGGGCCGCAUUGCUACACUUGCUCGGAACGUGCCAGGCGGUCUUGUUGUAGGUUACUCCGGGCGCGCUUGACGGUGUCCAGACGUUUAAUGGCCGGACUGAAGAAUUGCCUUGAGAGGCUGCUUUGUACUUCCGCUACGAUAGCCGCCGUAUGCUCCUCCGUUCGGUGAGAGCGUUCGGUGUUUCCAUUGACCGUGAUGACGCCUCGAGGGCCUGGCAUCUUGAGCUUGAGGUAUGCGUAGUGCGGCACCCAUUGAACUUGGGAAAUGCGGUUCGCCCGAGCAGUGCGUGAUAGCCACUACGGAACGGGACUAUGUCGAAGAUUAACUCCUCGCUUCGGAAAUUAUCCGGAGAUCCGAAGACCACUUCAAGUGUAACUGAGCCUGUACAGUUGGCUUCUACACCUGGUAUGACGCCUUUAAAGGUCGUUUUGGUGGGUUUAAUCCUCGAGGGAUCGAUGCCCAUUUUCCGCACUGUAUCCUGAUAAAGCAGGUUCAGGCUGCUGCCGCCGUCCAUAAGGACUCUAGCGAGGUGAAAUCCAUCAAUAAUUAGGUCUAGACCAAUGCGGCGAAUCCGCCAUGAUGGAUGCUAGUGGGGUGGUCCCUUUGAUCAAAAGUGAUCGGGCAGGAAGAACUUUGGGGCGACUGGCUCCAUCGCGUAUACGUCCCUUAGCACACGCUUCCGCUCCCUCUUGGGGACGUGGAUUGCGUAUAUCAUGUUCACCGUCCGCAUUGUGGGGGAAAACCUUUCUGUCCACUGUUGUUCGGCGGCCGGGGCUCCUCCUCGUCAUCGCUAUGCAGCCCCUUGUCUCUGCUUUCGGCAUUUAACUUGCCUGCUUGCUUGAACACCCAACAAUCCCUGUUGGUGUGAUUGGCUGGUUUUUCGGGGGUGCCAUGUAUCUGGCAUGAGCGGUCGAGUAUUCGGUCCAAACUAGACGGGCCCGGAGUAUUUCUUUUGAAUGGCUUUUUCCGCUGACCAGGUUUAGAGCCUCUGAAUCCGGCAUUAACUGCCGUAUCCUCAGCAUUGUCGCUGUUAAUGCAGCGCUUUUGCUUGUUGCGACGCAACCUGCCACUGCUGUCCUUGGUAUCCGAAUUACCAGGGCUCUUGGUCAUGUUAUUGCUGUGAGCUAGCCAGCUGUCUUCUCCCGCGCAAAAGCGGGUCAUAAGUGUCGUGAGGGCUGCCAUAGAUUUUGGCUUUUCCUGUCCUAGGUGCCGUGCAAGCCACUCGUCGCGGAUGUUAUGCUUGAAGGCUGCUAGGGCCUCUGCGUCCGGACAGUCGACAAUUUGAUUUUUCUUGGUUAGGAACCGUGUCUAGAAUUGUCUGGCCGAUUCCUCUGGCUACUGAAUUAUGUGGCUUAGGUCGUCGGCAUCUGGUGGUCGCACAUAAGUGCCUUGUAAAUUUUCGAGGAGUGCGGCUUCCAGGUCCUCCCAACAACCAAUUGAUUCUGCUGGCAAGCUGUUAAGCCAAUGCCGAGCUGGUCCUUUAAGCUUGAGUGAGAGGUAUUUGAUGGCGUGUAAGUCAUCACCGCGGGCUGUGUGGAUAUGAAGGAGAUAGUCCUCGAUCCAUACCGCAGGAUCAGUUGUGCCAUCAUAUGAUUCGAUGUUCACGGGUUCGAAACCCUCGGGGAUUUGAUAAUCCAUUACUUCAUCUGUGAAGCAUAGUGGGUGUGCGGCGCCUCUGUACUGGGCUAUAUCACAACGCAGCUCAAACGAGCUUUGUCUACUGUGUUCGGCCCGACCGGAUUUACUAUAUCCGGCGUGACGAGUACCGUCUCGUGCCGUGGGGUGCCCACGUGAUCCGUAGAUCGAUCUUGUUUGCCUUGCCUUGUCCUCCAAUAUGUCUCGCAGGUCUGGCGCAUUUUCCCAUGCCUUGGUAUUUUUUGAGCGGCACCGGGGUGCGCUUGAGUGGUGGGCCGAGAGGCCUCUCUGUCGCGGCCACGGGGUGGCCGGUCGGCUGCAUCAUGUUCGACGGGAUCCUCCGGCACGACAAAUUCGUCGUCGUCGAGGCUUGCCUCGUCUUCGGAGGGAGGCAUAUAAUUAUCGUCCUCGACCUCUCUGUCUGCCGCUCUCUCAUGAGGGCUGGCUUCUCUAUCCUCCCGUGCCGAAUCUUGCUGGAGGUGGUUGUCUUCGACACUGUCCGGGGUGUUAUUAUCCCCCGUGCCGGAAUCACCAUUUUUGUUUUGGCGGGAUUUAGAGCGGCGCCGCUGACGCCGGCGCUUAGGCUGCUUCUUGGAGGGGUCAUCCUCCGUUGUUCCAUCGCCAUUGCCUUCUUUUGGGGUGUCCACCAUGUAUAUAUCAUAUGAUGAGGUGGCUUUCUAGUGCCCUAUAGGCGCUGGUUCUUGAUUGUCUCCUGCAUCGGCGUCCAUACCAUCGAUGUCUUCGGAGUCGAAGUCGAGCAUGUCAGUUAAAUCAUCGACAGUGGCUACGAAGUGGGUGGUGGGUGGGCUUUGAAUUUCUUCAUCAUCUGCAUCCCAACCUUGCCAACCAUAGUCCGGCCAGGGCUCUCCUGACAAAGAGAGAGACUUUAGUGAAUUCAGAAUAUCGCCGAAGGGCGAGUGCUGAAAGAUGUCCGCGGCGGUGAACUCCAUGAUCGGCGCCCAAUCGGGUUCGAUCGGUCGGGGCGUAGAGGGCUCGGAGUCCGGAGAGGAUUCCGGCUCCUUGGAGUCACGGGCUUCGCAGAGAAUAGGGCUGGUGUUUGGCUCGAUCACCGUAGAGAUUGCAGCCCCCGAGGCAGUGUCUAACCACCCAUCCUCGGUUGGUGUGAUCGGCUCUGAGCUAGGGGUCGAAGCGGACACAAGUGCGGCCUCCAGGGCACUGUUUGGCGGUAGAGCUAAAUCAUGCCCAUCAUGACAGUGUGGCGCGCUCGGCUGUGGCUCGAAUCCGUCGAAGAUCAAGUCUCCGCGGAUGUCAGUCGUGUAGUUCAAACUUCCAAAUCUGACCUAAUGGCCAGGGGCGUAGCUUUCGAUCUGCUCUAGAUGACCAAGUGAAUUGGCCCGCAGUGCAAAGCCGCCGAAUACGAAGAUCUGUCCGGGGAGAAAAGUCUCAUCCUGGAUCGCAUCGCUGUUGAUGAUCGGAGAAGCCAUCGGGCCUAAAAGCGACGACACAGAGGAACUCUCAAUGUAAGCACCAAUGUCGGUGUCAAAACCGGCGGAUCUCGGGUAGGGGGUCCCGAACUGUGCGUCUAGGUCGGAUGGUAACAGGACGCAGGGGACACGAUGUUUUACCCAGGUUCGGGCCCUCUUGAUGGAGGUAAAACCCUACAUCCUGCUUGAUUAAUAUUGAUGAUAUGAGUAGUACAAGAGUAGAUCUACCACGAGAUCAGAGAGGCUAAACCCUAGAAGCUAGCCUAUGGUAUGAUUGUUCUUCGUCCUAUGGACUAAAACUCUCUGGUUUAUAUAGACACCGGAGAGGGCUAGGGUUACACAGAGUCGGUUACAAUGGUAGGAGAUCUACAUAUCCGUAUCGCCAAGCUUGCCUUCCACGCCAAGGAAAGUCCCUUCCGAACACGGGACGAAGUCUUCAAUCUUGUAUCUUCAUAGUCCAGGAGUCCGGCCGAAGGUAUAGUCCGGCCAUCCGGACACCCCCUAAUCCAGGACUCCCUCAAUGGAUGAGAGACCAAUCAUUUUAAUCUCUUCAUCAUGAUUAUUGUGCGAAAACAACUCCGGUUUAGCAGCCAUUUUAUUCACUAGUGUAGUCUGCUUAUCGGAGAUUUUUCCUAACAGAUUUUCUGUAUGAGCAAGCUGAGAUUGAAGAUUGGCAACUUCUUUAUUAACUUCAUCAUGUUUCUUACCAAUAGCAUCCAAGAAAGUAGAGUGUUCUUUAACUUAUUCAACAAAGAAUUUGUUGUGUUCAUGUUGUGUAAAUAUAAAAUUCUUAGUGGUAUUCUCAAUUUCUGCCAAACUUUUAUGGUGAGAAUUAUCAUAGUAAUGUUCUCGAGACAUAGCGACGAAGCAAGAAAACAAGGAAAAUAAAAAUAUUUUUGUGUUUUUGUAAAAUUGUUUUAGAAGUGGGGGAGAUGAAAACGAGAGGCAACUGGCAACUGGAAAGGCAAAUAAAAGUAAGAGCAGGUAGAUGAUAGUUUAUGCAAAGGUACUUGAUAGGUUUUGGUGAUGUCUCCCGGGCAAUGGUGCCAGAAAUUCUCCCAGCUACUUGUGAGCUGCUUUGAGAUUUCCUUGACCAGGAGAAGAUGAUGCAGUAUAGUAGAGAUAAGUAUUUCCCUCAGUUAAGAACCUAGGUUAUCAAUCCAGUAGGAGAAUCUCACAGAACCUUGUUAGCAGCACCUAUACACAGAAAAGCAAAUACUUGCACCCAACGCGAACAAGGGGGUUGUCAAUCCCCUCGGCGGUUAUUUGCAUGGAUUAGAUCUCAUAGUGGUAGAUAGAUAAAUUAAAUUGCUAAAUAAAAUUGCAGCAAAGUAUUUUUGGAUUUUAUAUAUGAUAAAAGCACCCUGGGGCCAUAGUUUUCACUAGAGGCUUCUCUCUCGAACACAAAGCAUACGGUGGGUGAAGAAAUUACUGUUGAGCAAUUGAUAGAAAAUCGCAUAGUUAUGACGAUAUUCAUGGUAAUGAUCAUGUAUAUAGGCAUCACGUUCGAGACAAGUAUACUAACUCCUGCCUGCAUCUACUACUAUUACUCCAUCCAUCGAGCACUAUCUAGCAUGCAUCAAGGGUAUUAAGUUAUAAAAACGGAGUAAUGCCUUAAGCAAGAUGACAUGAUCUAGAGAAAGUAAACCCCAAAAUAUGAAUAGACCCCAUCUUUUUAUCCUUAAUGGCAACAAUACGAAUACGUGUCAUGUCCCUUUCUGUCACUGGGAUUGAGCACCGCAAGAUUGAACCCAUCACAAAGCACAUCUCUCAUUGCAAGAAAAAUCAAUCUAGUUGACCAAACCAACAGAUAGAUCGAAGAGUAAUACAAUGCUAUAACAAUAAUGCAUAAAAGAAUUUAGAGAAGACUCAAUUAAUAUUCAUGAAUAAUCUGAUCAUAAAUCCACAAUUCAUCGAAUCCCAACAAACACACUACAAAAUAAUAUUACAUCAAAUAGAAGUCCAAGAAUAUCGAGGAGAACAUUGUAUUGAAGAUCAUAGAGAGAGAAGAACUCAUCUAGCUACUAGCUAUGGACCCGUAGAUAUGUGGUGAACUACUCACGCAUCAUCAGAAGGGCAACAAGGAUGAUGUAGAAGUCCUCCGUGAUCCAUUCCCCCUCCGGCAGAGUACCGGAGAAGGCCUCCAGAUGGGAUCUCGGAAGAACAAAAACUUACGGGGGUAGAAAAAGUGUUUCGGUGGCUCUCUGAUGUAUUGUGAAUAUUUGAGACUUUAUAGAGGCGGAAUUAGGUCAAGAUGUGCCAUGAGGGGCCCAUGAUACGUCUCCAACGUAUCUAUAAUUUUUGAUUGUUCCAUGCUAUUAUAUUAUCUGUUUUGGAUGUUUUAUAUGCAUUAAUAUGCUAUUUUAUAUGAUUUUUGGGACUAACCUAUUAACCUAGAGCCAAGUGCCAGUUUCUGGUUUUCCCUUGUUUUAGAGUUACGCAGAAAAGGAAUACCAAACAGAGUCCAAACGGAAUAAAACUUUCGCGAUGAUUUUUCUUGUACCAGAAGACAGCCGGGAGACUUGGAGUGCAAGUUAGAAGAGCCACAAGGCAGCCACAAGGGUCGAGGGCGCCCCCCCCCCCGACCUUGUGGGCGCCUCGGUGACCCCCUGACCUAGAUCUUCCUCCUAUAUAUUCUCAAAUACCCCAAAAACUAAGGCGUUACUCCGUUCUUGUCAUCUUGCUUAAGGCGUUACUCUGUUCUUUAUGAACUUAAUACUCUAGAUGCAUGCUGGAUAGCGGUCGAUGUGUGGAGUAAUAGUAGUAGAUGCAGAAUCGUUUCGGUCUACUUGACACGGACGUGAUGCCUAUAUUCAUGAUCAUUGCCUUAGAUAUCGUCAUAACUUUGCGCUUUUCUAUCAAUUGCUCGACAGUAAUUUGUUCACCCACCGUAAUAAUUUCUAUCUUGAGAGAAGCCUCUAGUGAAACCUAUGGACCCCGGGUCUAUUUUCCAUCAUAUAAGUUUCCGAUCUAUAAUUUUAGUUUCUGAUUUACUUUUUUUGCAAUCUUUUAGUUUCCAAUCUAUAAACCAAAAAUAUUACUUUACCGUUUAUCCAUCUCUAUCAAAUCUCACGUUGCAAAUAACUGUCAAGGGAUUGACAACCCCUUUAUCGCAUUGGGUGCAAGGUUGUUGUUUGUUUAUGCAGGUAUUCGGUGGCUUGUUGCAUUGUCUCCUGCUGGAUUGAUACCUUGGUUCUCAAAAGCUGAGGGAAAUACUCACUCUACUUUGCUGCAUCACCCUUUCCUCUUCAAGGGAAAAACCAAUGCAAGCUCAAGAGGUAGCAGCCAACAAGCCCAGGGGCAUGCCUGGUGAGCUUGUCGCUCCCUCGUGGCUCAUCUGGUCUUCUCCCGAACCUUCUGGGGUCUCUUGGUCCAGAAAAAACCAUCAAAAAGUUUCAUAGAGUUUGGACUCUGUUUGGUACUGAUUUCCUGAAAAUCCAAAACAAGCAAAAAUCAACAACUGGCACCGGGCACUAGGUUAAUAGGUUAGUCCUAAAAAAUGAUAUACAAUUGCAUAUAAAACAUCUAGGAUUGAUACUAUAAUAUCAGGGAACAAUAAAAAAUUAUAGAUAUGUUGGAGAUGUAUCAGUGGGCGAUGUUCACGAGGCUUUCGUGAUUCUCCUAUUGGUUCGAUAAAUCUUGGUUCUCAUUGAGGGAAAUACUUAUCUCUACUGUACUGCAUCUCACCUCCCUUUUUGGAGAAAAUCCCAAACGCAGCUCACAAGUAGCAUUGAUCUUGUUAUUCUUGGAGUUGUGAGGACUCCUAGACAUUUAGAAUACUUAUGGAAGAAUCCAAGUUUUGGACCAAAUAAGUUUGUGAAGAUUUGGAGGCUACCUCAGGUUUGAGCUCCUACUUUGUGUGGGAAGCUCAAAAGAGAAGAAAGCAAGACAUUGUGUUGUUGGGGGUACUUGAAGUUUGCCACGCCUCUCCAACGGAGAAUAGAACUCCCACAAUAGUAUGAAAUUGGGAUAAAUCCUUCGUCUCUGACUUGUGAUUAUCUCUUCCUUCACCUUUACUUUCGUAAAUUAUUUCUAGCUUUGUUUAUAUAUGUAUCUUGUGUUGCUAUCUUUAUCCUAUCAUAUAGGUUGUAUCACAUAGUUGCACAUUUGUAGAUCUAAUUUCACCCACAUUCCCCUGAAUUUGAAAUAAAAGAUAAACUUUGUAGCCGCCUAUUCACCCCCCUUGAUUCGACAUCUUAGAUCAUUCAGUUAACAACAUGUGUUGCAAACUAAUAAUUUAUUGAGCGAUCUCUUAGAAGCAUUCAUCUCAGUUAUCGCCAAGUGUACAUGUACAUUUUAGACCCUUUCCUCUAAAAUAUGAACAUGCCUAAUUGAUAAUUGUUUGAUAUUUGUUGCCAUAUCAAUUGAGUUAUGGACCAUUGAUUUUCCCCAUUCACUCCACCAGUGCUCUAUAUAAGCCAAACAUGAAUCCCUAACCCUAGAUACUCCCCAUCCCCACACCCUAUGCGCACAUCCUCCCCGCCGCCAUGUUGUUGUUACCCUUGAUGUUAGUACAACCACACGAGAUCUCCCCUCCUAAAUUAUGGGAUCUAAAACGAAGAGCGGCAAUGACACCAGACUUCAUCUCAUCCUUCCUUGCCUGCUCGUCGUCGUUCUAUUUGUAACCUUCAUCGUUAGGUUUGGAUUCCUCGUCGCCCAUGAUAAAAUUCACCACCUAUUAUCAUUGCAACCACCAGGCUUUCCUCAUGAACCCUCUUGGUGUCUCUCUCGCUAUCUCUCCUACUCAAUGUUAAGCCAUCAAGACCCUUAUUUUGAACCCUAGAAGCUGUUGGGUCCUAAAUCAAACUUUUAUGCUUGCCCCUAAAAAAAGCUCUGUGGAUAUGAAGACAAAGUUGUUGUGAAGAAAAUGAAGGUAUACAAUCUUACAAAUACAAAAUAUAUUAAGCAAUAUGUUUAUAUAUUAGUCGUAUAGUCAUCCCAUCAAUUUGAGUUUGCGAAUAAAGAUGUCCAUAUAAUUGUGUUCCCUGGAUUUUUUUGGAUGAAAAUUUAUCGCUGCAACAUCAAAACCAAUCCCUUUUGUUUGGUAUGAUUCGAGAGAUCACACAUUUUUCACAUCUCUAUAGGGUAGUAGUGUUUCCUUCCUUCUUCUUUCUUCUUGUUGUAGUCACUUGCUUUUCCCACAAAACAAACUAUUCACGUGUUCACUAGCUUUUACUGUCUAUAUGUAUGUGUAGAUCUUAUUAUCACAUCUUCGUACAAUAAUUUCUUUUCCUCCCUUCCUUCUUUCUGUUUGUUAUAGUCACAUUGACGAGGAAGAGUUGUCCGAUUGACGAGACAUGAUGUCGAGUGUGUACCACCACAUAACCCUAGCCGCUAUGUAAGAGUUGACAUAUGUGUUCCUUUAGAAAAUUCAAACUUCAUUAACCCCAACCUUUGUAGUAACUAGGAUGCGUGCAACCAUAUUAUUAUAAAACCAAUAAAACAGGAAGAAAAGAUCGAGUAUUUGAGUGAAUAGAGAGCAAGAAAUUGAAAAGGGCAAAUGGGAUGUGCCAAGUCCUAACAUAAUAUAUGUUUCUUGUAAGAUCAAUGUUUUGCAAUAAAAAGAAGACACCGAGGGUCUCACUUGCUUCAUCAAUGGUGAGAUCGAUAACCUGAGUUAGAUCUUCAACUCUACCUUGAUAGACCGUCCUUUAAUCAUUUUCACAAAAAUAAAUUAUCAGAGAUCAAAAACUAUUUGGUGGAUUUCCAAUUUUUUUUGCUUGCGAGGUAACAUAGAAAACCUUUCAUUAAGAUAUGAGUGGACCACUACUUGAGCUACUGCAACAUCUCAAUUCAUCCAUUCUUUUAGCAUGAAAGCUUGUUUAGACACACUUGUUUAAGUAUUCCAAGUUGUGGAUUGAUAUCCACAGAAGUUUGCGAAGAUUUGGGGGCUACCUCGAGGUUUACCACUGGAGAUUUGAGCUCCUACUUUGUGUGGGAAUCUCAACAGAGAAGAAGGCGAGACUUUGUGUUGUUGGUGGUACUUGGUCUUCGCCAUGAAUCUCCACCAUAGAUUAUAACUCCCCCAAGAGUGUGAACUUGGGAUAAAUCAUUCGUCUCUGACUUGUGGUUAUCUCUGCCUCCACCAUUUCUUUUGUAAAUUAUUGCUAGCUUUGUUUACUUGCGCAUCUAAUGUACCUAGCGUUAUCCUGUCAUACAGGUUUGUAUCAUGUAUUUGCACAUGUGCAUAACUAACUUCAUCCACAUUCACCUAUUGCAAAUAAAAGCUAAAAUUUUGUAGUCGCCUACCCCCCUAACUGUUGGGGAACGUAGCAGAAUUUUAAAAUUUUCUACGCAUCACCAAGAUCAAUCUAUGGAGUCAUCUAGCAACGAGGGAGAGGGGAGUGCAUCUACAUACCCUUGUAGAUCGCGAGCGGAAGCGUUCAAGAGAACGGGGUUGAUGGAGUCGCACUCGUCGUGAUCCAAAUCACCGAUGACCUAGUGCCGAACGGACGGCACCUCUGCGUUCAACACACGUACGGUUGGGAAGACGUCUCCUCCGUCUUGAUCCAGCAAGGUUAAAGGAGAGGUUGAUGGAGAUCCAGCAGCACGACGGCGUGGUGAUGGAAGCAACAGCGAUCUCGGCAGGGCUUCGCCAAGCUUACCGAGAGGGAGAGGUGUCACGGGAGGGAGAGGGAGGCGCCAAGGGCUAGGGUGCGGCUGCCCUCCCUCCCCCCACUAUAUAUAGGACCCCUAGGGGGGCGCCGGCCCUAGGAGAUCCAAUCUCCAAGGGGGGCGGCGGCCAAGGGGGGUGGCUUGCCCCCCAAGCCAAGUGGGGCGCCCCCCACCCCUAGGGUUUCCAACCCUAGGCGCAGGGGAGGCCCAAGGUGGGCGCACCAGCCCAUCAGGGGCUGGUUCCCCUCCCACUUCAGCCCAUGGGGCCCUCCGAGACAGGUGGCCCCACCCGGUGGACCCUUGGGACCCUUCCGGUGGUCCCGGUACAAUACCGGUGACACCCGAAACUUUCCCAAUGGCCGAAACUGGACUUCCUAUAUAUAAUUCUUCACCCCCGGACCAUUCCGGAACUCCUCGUGACGUCCGGGAUCUCAUCCGGGACACCGAACAACUUUCGGGUUACCGCAUACUAAUAUCUCAACAACCCUAGCAUCAUCGAACCUUAAGUGUGUAGACCCUACGGGUUCGGGAGACACGCAGACAUGACCGAGAUGACUCUCCGGUCAAUAACCAAUGGCGGGAUCUGGAUACCCAUGUUGGCUCCCACAUGCUCCUCGAUGAUCUCAUCGGAUGAACCACGAUGUUGAGGAUUCAAUCAAUCCCGUAUACAAUUCCCUUUGUCAAUGGUACGUUACUUGCCCGAGACUCGAUCGUCGGUAUCCCAAUACCUUGUUCAAUCUCGUUAUCGGCAAGUCACUUUACUCGUACCGUAAUGCAUGAUCCCAAGAUCAACCACUUGGUCACAUUGAGCUCAUUAUGAUGAUGCAUUAUCGAGUGGGCCCAGAGAUACCUCUCCGUCAUACGGAGUGACAAAUCCCAGUCUCGAUUCGUGCCAACCCAACAGACACUUUCGGAGAUACCCGUAGUGCACCUUUAUAGUCACCCAGUUACGUUGUGACAUUUGGCACACCCAAAGCACUCCUACGACAUCUUGGAGUUGCACAAUCUCAUGGUCUAAGGAAAUGAUACUUGACAUUCGGAAAAGCUAUAGCAAACGAACUACACGAUCUUUGAGCUAUGCUUAGGAUUGGGUCUUGUCCAUCACAUCAUUCUCCUAAUGAUGUGAUCCCGUUAUCAAUGACAUCUAAUGUCCAUAGUCAGGAAACCAUGACUAUCUUUUGAUCAACGAUCUAGUCAACUAGAGGCUCACUAGGGACGUGUUGUGGUCUAUGUAUUCACACAUGUAUUACGAUUUCCGGAUAACACAAUUAUAGCAUGAAAAAUAGACAAUUAACAUGAACAAGGAAAUAUAAUAAUCACUAUUUUAUUAUUGCCUCUAGGGCAUAUUUCCAACAAUCUCCCACUUGCACUAGAGUCAAUAGUCUAGUUACAUUGUGAUGAAUCGAACACCCAUAGAGUUCUGGUGUUGAUCAUGUUUUGCUCUAGGAAGAGGUUUAGUCAACGGAUCUUCUACAUUCAGGUCCGUACGUACUUUACAAAUAUCUACGUCUCCAUUUUGAACACUUCCACGAAUGGAAUUGAAGCGACGCUUGAUAUGCCUGGUCUUCCUGUGAAACCUGGGCUCCUUGGCAAGGGUAAUAGCUCCAGUGUUGUCACAGAAGAGAGUCAUCGGGCCCGACGCAUUGGGAAUGACUCCUAGGUCGGUAAUGAACUCCUUCACCUAGAUUGCUUCUUGUGCUGCCUCCGAGGCUGCCAUGUACUCCGCUUCACAUGUAGAUCCCGCCACAACACUUUGCUUGCAAUUGCACCAGCUUACUGCCCCACCAUUCAAAAUAUACACGUAUCUGGUUUGUGACUUAGAGUCAUCCAGAUCUGUGUCGAAGCUAGCAUCGACGUAACCCUUUACGACGAGCUCUUCGUCACCUCCAUAAACGAGAAACAUAUCCUUAGUCCUCUUUAGGUACUUCAUGAUAUUCUUGACCGCUGUCCAGUGUUCCAUGCCGGGAUUACUUUGGUACCUUCCUACCAAACUUACGGCAAGGUUUACAUCAGGUCUGGUACACAGCAUAGCAUACAAGAUAGACCCUAUGGCCGAGGCAUAGGGGACGACACUCAUCUUUUCUCUAUCUUCUGCCGUGGUCGGGCAUUGAGCCGUGCUCAAUCUCGUACCUUGCAACACAGGCAAGAACCCCUUCUUUGACUGAUCCAUACUGAACUUCUUCAAUAUCUUGUCAAGGUACGUACUCUCUGAAAGACCAAUGAGGCGUCUCGAUCUAUCUCUAUAGAUCUUGAUGCCUAAUAUGUAAGCAGCUUCUCCAAGAUCCUUCAUUGAAAAACACUUUUUCAAGUAGGCCUUUAUGUUUUCCAAGAAUUCUAUAUCAUUUCCCAUCAACAGUAUGUCAUCUACAUACAAUAUGAGAAAUGCUACAGAGCUCCCACUCACUUUCUUGUAAAUGCAGGCUUCUCCAUAAGUCUGUGUAAACCCAAACGCUUUGAUCAUCUCAUCAAAACGAAUGUUCUAACUCCGAGAUGCUUGCACCAGCCCAUAGAUCGAGCGUUGGAGCUUGCACACCUUGUCAGCAUUCUUAGGAUCGACAAAACCUUCUGGCUGCAUCAUAUACAAUUCUUCCUUAAGGAAACCAUUAAAGAAUGCCGUUUUGACAUCCAUUUGCCAUAUCUCAUAAUCAUAGAAUGCGGCAAUUGCUAACAUGAUUCAUAUGGACUUCAGCUUCGCUACGGGUGAGAAAGUCUCAUCGUAGUCAACCCCUUGAACUUGUUGAUAACCCUUAGCGACAAGCCGAGCUUUAUAGAUGGUUACAUUACCAUCCGCGUCUGUCUUCUUCUUAAAGGUCCAUUUAUUUUCUAUGGCUCGCCGAUCAUUAGGCAAGUCAGUCAAUGUCCAUACUUCGUUUUCGUACAUGGAUCCUAUCUCGGAUUUCAUGGCUUCCAGCCAUUUGUCGAAAUUUGGGCCCUCCAUCGCUUCCUCAUAGUUCGAAGGUUCACCAUUGUCUAACAGCAUGAUUUCCAAGACAGGGUUGCCGUACCACUCUGGUGCAGAACCUGUCCUUGUGGACCUACAAAGUUCAGUAGCAACUUGAUCUGAAGUUUCAUGAUCAUCAUCAUUAACUUCCUCUCUAGUCGGUGCAGGCACCUCAGGAACAUUUUCUUGAGUUGCGCCACUUUCCGGUUCAAGAGGCAAUACUUCAUCAAGUUCUACUUUCCUCCCACUUACUUCUUUCGAGAGAAACUCUUUCUCUAGAAAGGAUCCAUUCUUGGCAACAAAGAUCAUGCCUUCGGAUCUGAGGUAGAAGGUAUACCCAAUAGUUUCUUUAAGGUAUCCUAUGAAGACGCACUUUUCUGCCUUGGGUUCGAGCUUUUCAGGUUGAAGUUUCUUGCCAUAAGCAUCGCAUCCCCAAACUUUUAGAAACGACAGCUUAGGUUUCUUCCCAAACCAUAAUUCAUACGGUGUCGUCUCAACGGAUUUCAAUGGAGCCCUAUUUAAAGUGAAUGCGGCAGUCUCUAAAGCAUAGCCCCAAAAUGAUAGCGGUAGAUCGGUAAGAGACAUCAUAGAUCGCACCAUAUCCAAUAGAGUGUGAUUACGAUGUUCGGACACACCAUUACGCUGAGGUGUUCCAGGCGGCGUGAGUUGUGAAACUAUUCCACAUUUCCUUAAGUGUGUGCCAAAUUCGUGACUCAAGUAUUCUCCCCCCAUGAUCUGAUCGCAAGAACUUGAUUUUCCUAUCACGUUGAUUCUCAACCUCACUCUGAAAUUCGUUGAACUUUUCAAAGGUCUCAGACUUGUGUUUCAUUAAGUAGACAUACCCAUAUCUACUCAAGUCAUCCGUGAGGGUGAGAACAUAACGAUAGCCACCACGAGCCUCAAUACUCAUUGGACCGCACACAUCAGUAUGUAUGAUUUCCAAUAAGUUGGUUGCUCGCUCCAUUGUUCCUGAGAACGGAGUCUUGGUCAUUUUACCCAUGAGACAUGGUUCGCACGUGUCAAAUGAUUCGUAAUCAAGAGACUCCAAAAGUCCAUCUGCAUGGAGCUUCUUCAUGCGUUUGACACCUAUGUGACCAAGGCGGCAGUGCCACAAGUAUGUGGGACUAUCAUUAUCAACCUUACAUCUUUUGGUAUUCACACUAUGAAUAUGUGUAACAUUACGCUCGAGAUUCAUUAAGAAUAAACCAUUCACCAGCGGGGCAUGACCAUAAAACAUAUCUCUCAUAUAAAUAGAACAACCAUUAUUCUCGGAUUUAAAUGAGUAGCCAUCUCGAAUUAAACGAGAUCCUGAUACAAUGUUCAUGCUCAAAGCUGGCACUAAAUAACAAUCAUUGAGGUUUAAAACUAAUCCCGUAUGUAAAUGUAGAGGUAGCGUGCCGACGGCGAUCACAUCGACCUUGGAACCAUUCCCGACGCGCAUCAUCACCUCGUCCUUCGCCAGUCUCCGCUUAUUCCGCAGCUCUUGCUUUGAGUUACAAAUGUGAGCAACUGCACUGGUAUCAAAUACCCAGGAGCUACUACGAGUACUGGUAAGGUACACGUCAAUUACAUGUAUAUCACAUAUACCUUUAGUAUUGCCGGCCUUCUUGUCCGCUAAGUAUUUGGGGCAGUUCCGCUUCCAGUGACCACUUCCCUUGCAAUAAAAACACUCGGUGUCGGGCUUGGGUCCAUUCUUUGGCUUCUUCCCGGCAGCUUGGUUACCGGGCGCGGCAACCCCCUUGCCGUCCUUCUUGAAGUUCUUCUUACCCUUGCCUUUCUUAAACUUAGUGGUUUUAUUCACCAUCAACACUUGAUGUUCCUUUUUGACCUCCACCUCUGCUGAUUUCAGCAUUGAAUAUACUUCAGGAAUGGUCUUUUCCAUCCCCUUCAUAUUGAAGUUCAUCACAAAGCUCUUGUAGCUCGGUGGAAGCGACUGAAGUAUUCUGUCAAUGACCGCGUCAUCCGGGAGAUUAACUCCCAGCUGAGUCAAGCGGUUAUGCAACCCAGACAUUUUGAGUAUGUGCUCACUGACAGAAUUAUUUUCCUCCAUCUUACAACUGAAGAACUUGUCGGAGAAUUCAUAUCUCUCGACCCGGACAUGAGCUUGGAAAACCAUUUUCAGCUCUUUGAACAUCUCAUAUGCUCUGUGUUGCUCAAAACGCUUUUGGAGCCCCGGUUCUAAGUUGUAAAGCAUGCCGCACUGAACGAGGGAGUAAUCAUCAGCACGUGACUGCCAAGCGUUCAUAACGUCUUGGUUCUCCGGGAUGGGUGCGUCACCUAGCGGUGCUUCUAGGACAUAAUCUUUCUUGGCAGCUAUGAGGAUGAUCCUCGGGUUCCGGACCCAGUCCGUAUAGUUGUUGCCAUCAUCUUUCAGCUUGGUUUUCUCUGGGAACACGUUGAAGUUGAGGGCAACAUUAGCGUGGGCCAUUUGAUCUACAAGACAUAAUGUAAAGAUUUUAGACUAAGUUCAUGAUAAUUAAGUUCAUCUAAUCAAAUUAUUCAAUGAACUCCCACUCAGAUAGACAUCCCUCUAGUCUUCUAAGUGAAACAUGAUCCGAGUCAACUAGGCCGUGUCCGAUCAUCACGUCAGAUGAACUAGUCAACAUCGGUGAACAUCUUCAUGUUGAUCGUAUCUUCUAUACGACUCAUGCUUGACCUUUCGGUCUUCCGUGUUCUGAGGCCAUGUCUGUACAUGCUAGGCUCGUUAAGUCAACCUAAGUGUAUUGCGUGUGUAAAUCUGGCUUACACCCGUUGUAUUCGAACGUUAGAAUCUAUCACACCCGAUCAUCACGUGGUGCUUCGAAACAACGAACCUUCGCAACAGUGCAUAGUUAGCGGGAACACUUUCUUGAAAUUAUUACUAGGGAUCAUCUUAUUUAAGCUACCAUCGUUCUAAGCAAAUAAGAUGUAAAACAUGAUAAACAUCACAUGCAAUCAAAUAGUGACAUGAUAUGGCCAAUAUCAUUUGCUCCUUUUGAUCUCCAUCUUCGGGGCGCCAUGAUCAUCGUCGUCACCGGCAUGACACCAUGAUCUCCAUCAUCAUGAUCUCCAUCAUCGUGUCUUCAUGAAGUUGUCUCUUCAUCUAUUACUUCUACAACUAUGGCUAACAGUUUAGCAAUAAAGUAAAGUAAUUACAUGACAUUAUAUGUUGACACGCAGGUCAUUAAUAAAUUAAGACAACUCCUAUGGCUCCUACCGGUUGUCAUACUCAUCGACAUGCAAGUCGUGAUUCCUAUUACAAGAACAUGAUCAAUCUCAUACAUCACAUAUAUCAUUCAUCACAUCCUGUUGGCCAUAUCACAUCACACGGCACAUGCUGCAAAAACAAGUUAGAUGUCCUCUAAUUGUUGUUGCAAGUUUUUACGUGGCUGCUAUAGGUUUCUAGCAAGAACAUUUCUUACCUACGCCAAAACCACAACGUGAUAUGCCAAUUUAUAUUUACCCUUCAUAAGGACCCUUUUCAUCGAAUCUGAUCCGACUAAAGUGGGAGAGACAGACACCCGCUAGCCACCUUAUGCAACUAGUGCAUGUCAGUCGGUGGAACCAGUAUCACAUAAGCGUACGUGUAAGGUCGGUCCGGGCCGCUUCAUCCCACGAUGCCGCCGAAUCAAGAUAAGACUAGUAACGGCAAGUAAAUUGACAAUAUCGACACCCACAACUGCUUUGUGUUCUACUCGUGCAUAGAAACUACACAUAGACCUAGCUCAUGAUGCCACUGUUGGGGAAUGUAGUAGAAUUUUAAAAUUUUCUACGCAUCACCAAGAUCAAUCUAUGGAGUCAUCUAGCAACGAGGGAGAGGGGAGUGCAUCUACAUACCCUUGUAGAUCGCGAGCGGAAGCGUUCAAGAGAACGGGGUUGAUGGAGUCGCACUCGUCGUGAUCCAAAUCACCGAUGACCUAGUGCCGAACGGACGAUACCCUUGUAGUCUCUUGUCUUGAUACAACAAGGAGAAAGGAGAGGUUGAUGGAGAUCCAGCAGCACAACGGCGUGGUGGUGGAAGCAACGACGAUCUCGGCAGGGCUUCGCCAAGCUUAGCGGGAGGGAGAGGUGUCACGUGAGGGAGAGGGAGGCGCCAGGGGCUAGGGUGCGGCUGCCCUCCCUCCCCCCCACUAUAUAUAGGACCCCUAGGGGGGGGCGCCGGCCCUAGGAGAUCCAAUCUCCAAGGGGGGCGGCGGCCAAGGGGGGUGGCUUGCCCCCCAAGCCAACUGGGGCGCCCCCACCCCUAAGGUUUCCAACCCUAGGCGCAGGGGGAGGCCCAAGGGGGCGCACCAGCCCAUCAGGGGCUGGUUCCCCUCCCACUUCAGCCCAUGGGGCCCUCCGAGACAGGUGGCCCCACCCGGUGGAACCCCGGGACCCUUCUGGUGGUCCCGGUACAAUACCGAUGACCCCCGAAACAUUCCCGAUGGCCGAAAGUGGACUUCCUAUAUAUAAUUCUUCACCUCCGGACCAUUCCGGAACUCCUCGUGACGUCCGAGAUCUCAUCCGGGACUCCGAAUAACUUUCGGGUUACCGCAUACUAAUAUCUCAACAACCCUAGCGUCACCGAACCUUAAGUGUGUAGACCCUACGGGUUCGGGAGACAUGCGGACAUGACCGAGACGACUCUCCAGUCAAUAACCAACAGUGGGAUCUGGAUACCCAUGUUGGCUCCCAUAUGCCCCUCGAUGAUCUCAUCGGAUGAACCACGAUGUCGAGGAUUCAAUCAAUCCCGUAUACAAUUCCCUUUGUCAAUCGGUACAUUACUUGCCCGAGGCUCGAUCGUCGGUAUCCCAAUACCUCGUUCAAUCUCGUUAUCGGCAAGUCACUUUACUCGUACCGUAAUGCAUGAUCUCGUGAUCAACCACUUGGUCACAUUGAGCUCAUUAUGAUGAUGCAUUACCGAGUGGGCCUAGAGAUACCUCUCCGUCAUACGGAGUGACAAAUCCCAGUCUCAAUUCGUGCCAACCCAACAGACACUUUCGGAGAUACCCGUAGUGCACCUUUAUAGUCACCCAGUUACGUUGUGACGUUUGGCACACCCAAAGCACUCCUACGGUAUCCGGGAGUUGCACAAUCUCAUGGUCUAAGGAAAUGAUACUUGACAUUCGGAAAAGCUAUAGCAAACGAACUACACGAUCUUUGAGCUAUGCUUAGGAUUGGGUCUUGUCCAUCACAUCAUUCUCCUAAUGAUGUGAUCCCGUUAUCAAUGACAUCUAAUGUCCAUAGUCAGGAAACCAUGACUAUCUUUUGAUCAACGAGCUAGUCAACUAGAGGCUCACUAGGGACGUGUUGUGGUCUAUGUAUUCACACAUGCAUUAUGAUUUCUGGAUAACACAAUUAUAGCAUGAACAAUAGACAAUUAUCAUGAACAAGGAAAUAUACUAAUAACCAUUUUAUUAUUGCCUCUAGGGCAUAUUUCCAACACUAACAACAUUUUUGUAAACUAAUAAUCCAUCAACCGAUCUCCUAGAAGCAUCAUGUGAGUAAUCUCUAGGUGUACAUGUACAUUUUAGAACAUUUCCCCUUAGAUAUGAACACACAUAUUUGAUAACCGUUGGUUCUUUGUUUCCAUAUAUAAAUCGAGUCAUGGACCGUGAUUUUCCCAAUUCACUCCACAAAUUCUCUAUAUAAGCCAAUCAUGAAUCUCUAACCCUAGAUCUCUAACCCUAGAGACUCGCUCUCCCCUCCCCCAACGCUCGCGUCCUCCCCAUCGCCAAGUUUUUCUUACCCUUUGUGUUAGUACAACCAUGCAAGAUCUCCCCUCAUAAAUUGUGGCCUCUAAAUCCAAGAGCAGCACAAACACCACACUUCACCUCGUCCUUCCUUGCCUGCUCAUCGUCUAUUUUCCAUCGCCAUCAUCUCCCUUGGUUCAUCGUUAGGUUUGGAUUCGUUGCCUCCCAAGAUAAAAUUUCCCACAUAUAGUCAUUGCCACCAUCGCGCUUUCCUCAUGACCCCUCUUGGUGUCUCUCUCGCUACCUCUCCUAUCCAACGCUAACCCAUCAAAACACUUAUUUUGACUCCUAGGAUCUACUGAAUCCUAAAUCAUAACUUAAAGAUCCUUGGAGAGACGAAGACAAAGUUGAUGUGAAAAAAAUGAAGGUAUAAACCCUUACAAAUACAAAUAUAUUUAGCAAUAUGUGUAAAUAUUAGUCGUAUUUCUUGGAUAAAGAUGUUCUUAUAAUUAUGUUUCCUUGAUUUGUUUGGAUAAACAUUUACCGCAGCAACAACAUCCUGAUUAAUCCCUUUUGUUUGGUAACAUUCAAGAGAUCACACAUUUUUCACAUCUCCGUAGGAUUGUUGUAUUUCCUCCUUCCUUCCUUCCUUCCUUCCUCCUCCUCCUCCUCCUCCUCCUCCUCCUCCUUCUCUCCGUAGGAUUGUUGUAUUUCCUCCUUCCUUCCCUCCUCCUCCUCCCGCUUCUUCUUAUAAUUGCUUGUUUUUCCCGCAAAACAAAGUAUUCAUGUGUUCAGUAGCUUUUACCAUCUAUAUGUAUGUGUAGUUCUUGUUAUCACAUCUCUGUACAAUAGUUGCCUUCUCUUCCUUUCUUUCUUUUUGUUAUAUUCAUGUUGACGAGCCGUGAUAUCAAGUGUUGACCACCGCAUAACCCUAGCCACCAUGUAAAAGCUAACUUAUGUGUUUCUUUAGAAACUAGGAACUUCAUUACCCCCAACCUUUGUAGCAACUAGCAUGACUACAACCAUGUUAUUAUAAAAUCAAUAAACCGGUGAAAAAAGAUCUAGUAUGCGAGUGGAUAGAGUAAGAAAUUGAAAGGGGAAAACAUGUUGCACCAAUUCCUAACAUAAUAUCUUGUUCUUGUAAGACAGAUCUUUUGCGAGUAAAAACAAGACACCGAGUUGCUUACUAGCCUCACCAGCAGUGGGCCCGACAACCUGAGUUAGAUCUUUGCCUCUACCUUAGGGCAUGUACAAUGGUCCUAUGUUAGGAGUACCACGUAGGAUAAACAUUGAGGUAGAGGAGAGAGAAACCAUUAAAAAAGGCUUGUCUUCUCUUAUUUAAGAGAUGAUCUCUUAGCACCAUAUGUCUCAUCACGUUUUUAAAAAUAACUAGUUAUUGAAGAUCAGACUAAGAGAUGACCCAUUAUAGAUAUGUUUUUAUUGUCAUCUCUAAAUUAUAUUCAAGGCUUAAGAUAAGACUGCCUUAUCAACCACUGUACAUGCCCUUAAUAAAACCGUUCUUUGGUCAUUUGCACAAAAACAAAUUAUCAAAAAUCAAUAAGUAUUUGGUGGACUUCCAAUAUUUUUGUCUGCGAGGUAACAUGAAGAACCUUCCAUUAAGAUAUGAACACACCCCUACUUGAGCUUGGGCAACAUCUCAAUUCAUCCAUUCCUUUAGUAUGGAAGCUUGCUUCAUUUUUUAGCAAAGUCUAAGUAAUUUAUAUUUUGCGUAUAAUGCCAAUUUUCAUAAGGUAUAUGUGUACCACUUUACUAGUAUUGUUGACAUAUUCCAUUAUUUUUUUAAUCCCAUUUAUAUGCAUUGCGGUUCCUAACAUACUUACCCACAUGAAACAACCAUCUCAUAUGUUUCUCACAGAUGAAAUGAAUCCAAGUGUGAAUUCUUCUAGUUUGAUUUCGCAAAAUGCGAUUCCUAACAUUUUUAUCCACAUGUCUCGUAUGUUGCCUAUAUUCGCACACUUCUUUCUUUAUUCACCUUUCCUAAAAAAAACCCGUUCACCUAAUUGUGAUUCUUAACAUUUUUACUCGCAUGUAAACUGCCUCAUAUGUUGCCUACAUGGCCAUUUUUACCAGCAUGUAACAAUUGUCGCGUAUGUUGCUACAUAUGAAAUCAAUCCAAGUGUGAGUGCGUAACACUCUUCUAUGUUUGAUUUGUUUCAAAUUGUGUUUCCUGCCAUUUUUACCCGUAUGCCUGCGAGGACUUCAUAUAUAUAUAUGAGUCCCAACGUUACCAUGCUCCAUCCUACCUUCCCAUGGCCACGCUCUCGCCUGGGCAGCGGCAGCAGCCGGGCGUGGACCGCCUCAGUGCGCUGCCCGACGAACUCCUUGUGACCAUCCUGGAUGGCCUAGACACCCGCUCCGCGCUCGCCACCACCGUCCUAGCCAAGCGCUGGACGCACCUCCCCCGCCUCCUCAGCGCACUCGAGUUUAGGGUCACCGACAUGUUCCCACCGCCGGUGUACCAACAGUCUCCCGUCUUCCUGGAGUAAUACGCGCCGGCCGUCAUGGCCAGGUACAACGACGCCAUUGACAGAUUCAUGGAAGCGGCCCACGCCGACGGUAGCUAUAUCCCCCAGCCCGGCAGGAGGCUCCGGCUCGAGUUCUUCGACCCAGACGAACCCGCUUUCGUUGACCGCCUGAUCGGCACAGCGGUCAGAAGCUGGGGCGUGGAGGACCUGGAGGUCAUAGUCAAGCCGGUGGCACGCCAUAUCGCUUACUUCUUCCCACAGCAUUACCUCGACGACGAGUCGGCGCAAUUCAUCCGCAGCCUCACUCUGGGAGGUUGCAGCCUCCUCCGGCCGCUGCACAGGUACGGCAAGCUCACUGCGCUCGUCCUUCAGGAUAUCAGCCCGUCGGUGCCUGUGGCGGCCUACGCCGGUGUGUUUUCCAGGUGCGCGGGGCUGCGGUCCGUGCACCUCAGGCGCUGCCACCCCGAAACCGAUAACAACAUACCCAGCGUCAUGGAGGUGGACGCGCCGGCGUCGGGGAUCAUUGAGCUCGUCGUCUACAACUGCUCGUUCCAGGCGAUCCGGCUGCUGGCUCUCCCGGCGCUGGAGCGCCUGGAGUGCAGCGGCAGCCCCGUCAGUCUGGCAUUCGGCAUCAUCCCGCGCCUGGCGCACGUAGUCCUCAGCCUAGGAUUCUUCAUCCUGGAAGGCGACCCCUGGGACGACCGGUACGGCGACUAUACGCUCGACGAGCUCCUGGUGGCGGUUAACCCUGCGGCCGUGACGGUCACGGACCUCGUCCUCCGGUUCACGGGUACCUACAGGUGGGUGGAGCCGUGGCUCGACGGCGUGACGCCGUUCCCCGUCCUGCGCAGGCUGCUGGUGGCGGACGUGCCUUCCAACUGGGACGUGUUGUGGGCGUACCUCCUCCUCGAGGCGGCGCCGUCGCUCGAAGUCUUCCACAUGAGCGUCACCCCCUGCGCCGAGGACUCGCAGCGCGACGUCGACAUCAUGUGGCGUCCGUCCAAAUACCGUCACCGUCGUCGGGUUCGAGCUGACGCCGACGCAGGCGUGCCUGGUCAGGCUCGUCAUGAAGACGUGCAAGGCGCUGAGGCGCGUCGUGCUGAUGAAGGGCGGCCGCAUAGAGGACAGGGGACUCGGGGGCGGCUGGGAGGUGGUGGCGCCGCAGGAGAACGGCUGGAGCGACGACGAGAAGGUGGCCGCGGAGAGGGCGAUCAAGAAAGUCAGAUACUUCAAGCUGUACGGUCAUCUGUUCUUUGCAUGAGUUUGAGAGUUAUUCCGCUUUGUAGGCGGCGAUUUAGAUUCGAGACUUCUUUUCCGACUGUGAGUUCGGCUCAUCGUAUGUUUUAAUUUAAGUUAAUGUCGGAUCUGUUUGUCGAACGGUUAAAGCAAAGGGAAUGAUUUCCAUUCAUUCCGUCUCUUUCCACAACAAAUUAUUGCGGUGAUUGAUUUACUGAAUAAUGUAUGAGAAACACUUACCAUCAACCGGCCGAUAAUAGGGCCGCAUCGGUCAUCUUCCAUGCGUGACACGCGUCUCGCAGACUAUCCUUCAAUAAACUCGCUUUUGCAACAGGAGCUAUGCUUCCGAAACAUAUGCGGUGUUGCAAUACUUUACGACGGGUCUAUGUUUUACAACAAAACUUCUCUUGCAAAUUUUUCUGCAACAAGACCUCAGUUGUAAAAAUAUAAAAAAAACUGAUGCUGCAAAAAAAAAUCCGCAACAAGACCUAUGUUGCAAAAAUAAUUCCGCAACAAGACCUGCGUUGUAGAAAUAAAUUCUCGCAACAAGACCUGUGUUGCAGUAUGAAGACGCGUUCGUCCGUGUGAUGCGGUAAUCUGACGGCUCGCGGCCCGGCUGAUCUUUUAAAAAGAUCAACCGGCGGACGUGUAGCACACCACAUAAUGUAUGCAUGCAUAUCUCUGAACUGAAUAUUCUGUUUUGCUUUGUAGGUGGAAGUAUCUUGUGGCAACCUUGUUUCUGAAUAAAAUGCAUAGGUUAGAAAUAAACUGCUUUUUAAGAUCAUAGAGCAGGCAAUUGCACGUCUAACUUAUCGGCCAUAGUAGUACUUUUACUGUAUUUGCAACAACACAUUCUAACCAGAGCAACAGGUUCAGAGCCCUUCAUCAUGACAACUUCAAAACAAGCAAACACAUUGCAUAUAUUCUGUGAAGCCUAUGUGCAGAUGCAGGUUAGGCCAAUACACAAAUACACAAACCAAGAAUUAUAUUGAGCACUCAAUUCUUGGUAGGAUGGAAGUGAUACUGUGUUUGCUCUGUAAAUAAAUGAUAGGCCUGAACCAUGCUGUUCUCAAAACAGAGAGAAAGAAACUGCAGUCUUAGAAAGAAACUGCAAUGUUCUGUAGAGAUGCACGAUUUGUGACCCGUGCACUCCCUGUCAGUGCCUAGAUUAGUGUUGGAUGGCUGAAUAAGUUCACAUGCAAAUCUCUAAAAAUAAAAUAAAUAUACCUUACUUCUGAUAGCAAAGAACAGAUCUAGGGUUAAUGCAGUGCUGAUGGGAAGCGCCGCCACCACCUCGCCCACUAGUCUCUGCCAUCACCGGCCACUGUCACCAUGGCCGGCACCGGUGGCUCCUCGAGCCACAAGGAAAAGGUAAUACUCCCAUACCACUACCCGAAUCCCCAUGCCCACUGGAUCAACGGAUCCUAUCAAUGGUAUCAGCCCAGGUUGGCGUUAUGGAUUUUAGGUAGCAACAGAAAUCCUCCCUCCCCAAAGAACCCUAGAACAGGGCAAAGAAAAAUUCCUCUCCGGAGAAAGUAGCGCCGCCGUUAUGGCCGCGCCGUUCCUCUCGAUCCGGAAGGGCAUCGGCACGCCGAGCCGUCCGGAAGAAGAACCACCGGAGUUAGCCCAAGGGCUCGCCGGAAAAGGAGAAGGGGGGCACCGUAGCCAAACUGCUCGACGGCGGCGCGCUCACCGCGAGGUAGACGCGCAGCCGGCGAGGGGGAAGGCCACGGUGCCCCGUCGAAACCUCCGCCGUAGUCGUCGUCCAGAUCGAAAAAGAGGAGGCGUUGGUGGUGGAGACACAGAGGAGAGGACAUGAGGAAAUGGGGGGAGGAGAGGGUGGCGCGCAGCGCGGUGUCUUCGGGUCGUCGUCGCGGGCGGCCAGACUUAGCUCGUCGGUGGCCUCUGCCCCCGGCCGCGGAGACAGAUCGGAGGACGGCCUGCCCUCUCUGCAAUAGGAAAGAGAAGGGGAACAUGAGGAAAGAGAAGCGGCCAGGCUCGCGCGGUGGUGGACGCCAUCGCCGGCGGCUCGACCGGACCGGCGUGGCGCGGUCGCCCGGCGACCGGGAAAGCGUCGGGUCGAGAGAGGAUGAACGGCGCGAGAGAAAAGAAUGGGGGCGCUAGGUUUCGGUUCUGGGACUCUUUCCUGUUUUUGUUCGAGCGAGAACGACGAUCCACCUUCCGACCGCGUUGAACGGUUUGGAUUAAAACCCUAGCCUCCCCACUGGCCUUUUGGGCCGAAAGUGAUCGUGGGCUAGGCCGAGGAAGGCCGGCUCGCGCGGCCUGGCGCGGGAAGCAGGCCAUGGGCCGCUUCCUCCGCUGAGGGCCUUGAGCGCUGGGCCUGGCCGCAGCUGCGUGCUGCGCCGUGGCCGUAGCAGCGCGCUGGACCGAGGCCAGCAGCCUUGCGCGCUGGACCAAGGCAGGGCCAGUUCAUUUUGUACAGUUUCCUUUUUCUACUCAAAAAAAUUUCCAACGAAAAUUCUCUUUAGAAAAUAUAUAAAAGAAAAAAGUAGAACAGUUUCUAAAAAUGAAAAUAAAAAAAUUUCAGAAAAAUAAACGUUCAUGAAUUUAGUUGGCAAGAAGAAAAGUUUAUGUAAACAAUAAAAGUGCACUUUUAAAAGAAAAGAAAAUUUUUCUGUAAAGAAUAAUAGGUUCAUGAAUUUUCUAUUCAUGUUUUUUCCGCUGCAAAUAAAAAUAAAAGUGCUCCUUUAAAAGUGAAUAGAACUAAAAUAGAAGAUGAAAUUGUUGCUUCUCUAAUGCUUUUUUGAACCAAUUGGUUAAAAUUACUUAGAGAGUAAAAGAGUACAUAAUUGUUUCUGCAUAGAAUAUUAAAAGUUUCUGCUGCAAAGAAAAAGUUUUAUCCUCCAAUUAAAUUGGAACCAAGGGGAAAAUUUAAUUGGAAAAACUGUUCUUAGCAAUGUUUUCCCUUGUGGGUGAAAUCAGAUUCAGAUAGCUUCCGCUAUGACAAAAGAAAGAUAUUUGUUUUAAAGUUAAAAUAUGGUAUUGUUAUUUUCUAACCAACGUUGAUGAUAAUAGUACUAUAAUUCUAUGAGUCUUAUGUUCAAUGCUUAAAUCUCUGAUAAAUUUUGUAUCAAAGUGAUCAAUUUUCAGAGAACAGUUAAAGAUAAAGAAAUGCUCUUGAACUAGAGAAAUGUAUAUUUCUUGUUUCCGCUGCAAUAAAGUUGAUGAUGAUUAUUAUUUCUGAGCAAAGUUGUUUAAUAGAAAUACUAUCAUCACAUUGUUUAUGAGUUAUAUGCAUUAUUUCCAUUUCCGCCCAAUGAUGAUAUGGAAUUAAUGUAGAAGAAUGAGUUUUAUUCUAAUUCUACCACAACGGUGAUUUAGAGUAUAAAAAGGAAGUUUUGCAAAAGUUUAAUGUGCAUAUUUUUUAACCAGACCAACAUAGGGUGUAGCGACCAGACCUCAAACAGUCUGAUCUCUGUGCUUCGGUGUCAUCCCUGGAUCAUUAAUGCUAACACCACACAGUACUCGGAGGAUUUAUAACAGAGUAGCAAUCACACACUUAUUACAUCGAGUGUCUCCAUAGAGAACUUAUUACAAUAAAUAUGGCUUAAGGCCAUCUAUAACGAUAACAGCGGAAGGCUUAGAAGAUAAGUGAGUGCAUCAACUCCAACGACAUCACUGAGUAUAGAAUCACGACUUAAAAACUCGUUAAUCGUCGUCUGAAAAGUCUGCAACAUUAACGUUGCAGCCCUAAACGGGUCGGCACAUGAAAUAUGCUGGCAAGGUAACACAUAGAGAAUAAUGGAAUGAAAUAGCUAUACUAUAUGCCUAUUUGGCUGGUGGAAAGCUCUAUGGUUACAGUUUUGCGAAAAGCCAAUUUUUCCCUACUAUAAAGGAAUAAAUUUAAUUACUAUCAUGGUGGUUGUUAAACAUUGAGAAUGGUUGACAGCAUUCUCAAUCCCAAUUAAGCAUCAUCAUUAAACAAAGCCCAACAAUUAAUUUAGGAUAACAUGUUGAGAUUCACAUGAAAAUCCAGGUACUAGAUGCUCAAGAUGUCCAUAACCGGGGACACGGCUAACCAUGAUUAGUUUAUUACACUCUGCAGAGGUUUGCGCACUUUUCCCCACAAGACUCGAUCGCUUCCGUUUGGUUUCUCGCACUACAUGGUAUUUGAGAAGACGGAUGACCGAGACAUAGUAUUUCAGAAGCGCUAGCACCUUACGAUCGGGUAGACCGUACCACCUACAUCCCCUACAUCUGCUAGUCUACCACUGUAAGAGUUCGCACUACUUAGUCAACUAUGCUAGAGCCCAUAAUAGCUUGUGGCUGCACAUGGAAGUUUCUAGUAUGAAUAGUCUCAUGAUCCCUUUGAGCCUGGGUGGCGGUCCAAAAGAAAACAAGCAAGUCCUGGAAUACCCAGGUGCCUCAAUCCACCCAGAUGUGUGUUUAAGUUGCCACCUUAGAUAAACCAUUAAUUAACAAUCUCACAUCUAUCAUGGAUAUCACUCACCCAAUCCACGUCUACUAGCAUAGCAUGGCAUAAUAAGCAAACGUAGAAGUAACUCCCAAAAGUUUGAUAAUAAAUAGGUAAUAGGUACUACCUCAACUACUUCCCACCCCACAAUUUAAUUAGAUCCUAAUCAUGCAAUGUGUGAGGAUGGAUCUAAUGCAAUAAAACUGGGUAGUAGGAAAGGUAUGAUCAAAGUGUUAUUUGCCUUGCUGAUGAUCCGGGAAACCUAGCGAUUCGAAGUAACAAGCGGCGCACUCCGGGUACUCUAUCGCAAACAAACAAACAAGCAUACAAUAAGUACUCAUCUAAUGCAUGGGUAAAACUAAAAUAAGAGAUCUAACCAGAAGGUUCAACUUAAGAACUCCGGUUUGCAAAAAGAGUCAAAUCGAACGGAGCAACGAAAGUCAAACGGCGAAAGAAAACAACUUCGUUCUACUAAUCUGGAUCUAGGGCAAACUUUACAGUAGCAAAACUUGUUUAAGUUGAUUAAACGGAUAGUGGGUUUCGAGACAAAACUCCAGGCGCUUGAAUCGCCUGAUUCCGAUAAACGAGCGAAAAGUUAUACUAUAAGAAAAUCGGAUCAGGAAUCGCGAUCAAAAAAAUCGCGGAUUAAAUUCGAGAAAAGAAAAACGACGAACGUUCGCUAGAACGAACAAAUGAACGCUCGCUAUUUAAAUAAACCGAAAAGAAACCGAUCUAUUUAAAAAAAACCAAAACAAAAAAACAGACGAAAAACCGAAAGGUUUUUUGAAAAAAAAUAAAAAAAAACGGCGCGGAAAACUAGGCGGCGGCGGACCUCGGGCGGCGUGCGGCGGCGGCGGGCGCUGGGGCGGCGGGAGGCGCUGGGGGCGGCUAGGGUUUGGUUGGGGCUGGGCCUCUCGCCCCCCGGCUUAUAUAUCCUAACGGGCCGGGAGUCCUAGUCGGACACGACCAUAGGUCGGUUCGUUUUUUUUAUAUAUUACGCGCAGAAGAAAAAAAAUAAAAAGAAAUACUAAACGGACUCUAAAAAUUCCAAAAUAAAUUUUUACGGGCUUCUAAAAUCAAGCCGCACAAGGUGAACAUUUAUUUGGGGCCUAAAUACAAUUUUGAAAAAUGCACAUUUUUCCUAAAUUCAAAUAAAAUAACAAAAAACUUCGAAAUAAAAUCUUAUUUGAUUUUAUUAUUAAAUCCUCAAUAUUUAUUUAUUUUGGGAAAGUCAUUUUAUUCCCUCUCUCAUAUUUUUGUAAUAGAAAUAAUUGAUGAUAAAAUAAAUAAAAUCAAAUGAUCCUAUUCUCAAAAUUUGAGAAAACUCAAAUAUGAAAAUAAUGAAAUCCCCAACUCUCUCCGUGGGUCCUUGAUUUGCGUAGAAUUUCUAGGAUCAACCAAAAUGCAAAAUAAAAUAUGAUAUGCAUAGAUGAUCUAAUGUAUAACAUUCCAAAUUGAAAAUUUGGGAUGUUACAAACCUACCCCCCUUAAGAUGAAUCUCGCCCACGAGAUUCGGGUUGGCUAGAAAAUAGGUGAGGGUGGUCCUUGAGCAAAUCUUCCUCUCGCUCCCAGGUGGCUUCAUCCUCCGUGUGGUUGCUUCACUGAAUUUUGCAAAACUUGAUAACCUUGCUGCGAGUGACUCGGCUAGCAAACUCGAGGAUCUUAAUUGGUUUCUCCUCGUAGGUCAAAUCGUUAUCCAACUGAAUUGUUUCCAACGGCACUGUGUCUCUCAAGGGUAUGUCAGCCAUCUCAGCGUGACACUUCUUCAACUGGGAAACGUGGAACACAUCAUGAACUCCUGACAAUCCUUCAGGCAAUUCCAACCUGUAGGCCACUUCUCCCAUACGCUCCAAAACUCGAUAUGGUCCUACAAAUCGUGGCGCUAACUUUCCCUUAACUCCAAAAUGCUUUGUUCCCCGAAGUGGAGAUACUCGAAGAUAAGCUCUAUCUCCAACUUCGUAAACUGUCUCCUUCCAUUUCGAAUCUGCAUAACUCUUCUGUCUGGACUGGGCUAUCUUGAGCCUGUCGCGAAUCAACUUUACCUUCUGUUCAGACUCUUUAAUCAAGUCAGGUCCAAACAACUGGCGAUCUCCAACUUCGUCCCACGACAACGGUGUCCUGCACCUCCUUCCAUACAAAGCUUCGAAAGGGGCCAUCUUUAAACUGGUUUGAUAACUGUUGUUGUAAGAGAACUCUGCAUAUGGGAAAUUGUCGUCCCAACUAGAUCCAUAAUCUAGCGCACAAGCUCUCAGCAUAUCCUCCAAAAUCUGAUUGACUCUCUCGGUCUGUCCAUCUGUCUGUGGAUGAAAAGUUGUACUGAAUUCUAGCCUGGUACCCAAAGUUUCAUGCAACUGCUUCCAGAACUUUGAGGUAAAUUGGGUUCCUCUGUCUGAUACGAUACUCCUCGGAACUCCAUGCAAACAUACGAUCCUGGUCAUGUAUAUUUUUGCCAACAUAGUACUGGUGUAAGUGGUCUUUACCGGGAUGAAAUGAGCUACUUUCGUCAACCGAUCGACUAUAACCCAAAUCGAGUCAUAGCCUGAACGAGUCCUGGGUAAUCCUAUGAUAAAAUCCAUGCCUAACUUAUCCCACUUCCAUUCGGGUAUCGGUAAUGGUUGUAACAAUCCUGCUGGCUUCUGAUGCUCUGCCUUUACUCUCUGACAUACAUCACAGACUGCUACAUACUCCGCAAUAUCCUUCUUCAUUCCGGUCCACCAGAAAAUAUCCUUAAAAUCCAAAUACAUCUUGGUAUUUCCUGGGUGAAUCGAAUAUGGUGAAUAGUGUGCCUCUUGCAGAAUCAACUUCCUAAUCUCCGGGUCAUUGGGCACAUAAACACGGUCUUCAAACCAUAGGGUGUCGUGCUCAUCCUCACGAAAUCCUUUAGCCUUUCAUUUGCUCAGUUUCUCCUUAAGAGAGGCAAUCUCCUUGUCAGUCUUCUGAGCUUCUCUGAUUCUAUCCAUCAAGGUUGACUGAAUCUCCAAUGCUGCUACAUAGCCUCUAGGAACUAUUUCCACACAUAGUUCAUGAAGAUUUUCUUCUAACUCCCUUGGUAUUCCUCCCGUCAUUAAUGUAUUGACGUGGCUCUUACGGCUUAAUGCGUCAGCUACUACAUUAGCCUUUUCGGGAUGAUAAUGCAAUCUCAUAUCAUAAUCCUUGAUGAGCUCCAACCAUCUCCUCUGUCCGAGGUUUAACUCCUUCUGCGUGAAAAUGUAUUUCAAACUCUUAUGAUCCGUGUACACCUCACAAUGAUUUCCAAUGAGGAAAUGUCUCCAUGUUUUCAAUGCAUGCACUACAGCUGCUAACUCUAAAUCAUGCGUAGCAUAAUUCAACUCAUGAGGUUUCAGUUGUCUUGAGACAUAUGAAACAACUCUCCCUUCCUGCAUAAGCACUGCUCCAAGUCCUCGACGUGAAGCGUUGCAAUACACCUCAUAAUCCUUGGUCUGGUCUGGCAAAAUCAACACUGGUGAAGUAACCAAACGUUUCUUCAACUCCUGGAAACUAGCCUCACAUUCCUCCGUCCAUAUGAACUUGGUAUCUUUCUUCAACAACUCCAUGAUAGGCUUCGCAAUCUUUGAGAAAUUCUCAAUAAAUCUCCGGUAGUAUCCCGCGAGUCCCAGAAAACUCCGUAUCUCUCCAACCAUGGUCGGUGCUUCCUAUUUGGUCACGAUAUCAACUUUAGCGGGAUCUACUGCUAUUCCUUCUCCGGAUAUAACGUGUCCGAGGAAUCCUACUUCCUUCAACCAAAACUCACAUUUUCUAAACUUGGCAUAUAAUUGAUGUUCUCUGAGCUUUCCAAGUACCAAACGCAAAUGCUCCUUAUGCUCCUCUUCAUUCUUCGAGUAAACCAUGAUAUCAUCAAUGAACACCACGACGAACUUAUCCAAAAACUCCAUAAACACUUUGUUCAUCAUGUUCAUAAAAUAUGCAGGUCCGUUAGUCAGACCAAAUGACAUAACGGUAUACUCGUACAACCCAUACCUGGUGGUAAAAGCUGUCUUAGGAAUAUCAUGUUCUCGAAUCUUCAAUUGGUGGUACCCUGAUCACAAAUCGAUCUUGGAAAAUACCUUAGCUCCUUGCAAUUGAUCAAACAGAUCAUUGAUCAUUGGUAGUGGGUACUUGUUCUUGAUUGUUACUUCAUUCAAUCCUCGAUAAUCAACAACCAUCCUUAACGAUCCAUCCUUCUUCUCCACUAGAAGUACUGGCGAUCCCCAAGGCGAAGAACUUGGGCGAAUAUAUCCUUUAUCCAGUAACUCCUUAAUCUGCUUCUUAAUUUCCACCAAAUCCUUUGCUGGCAUCCUAUAUGGUCUCUUUGAUAUUGGCCCUGUGCCUGGCAAUAGCUCAAUCAAAAACUCAAUAUCUCUAUCCAGUGGCAUGCCUGGCAACUCUUCUGGAAAUACUUCAGGGAAAUCCCUUACCACUGGUACUUCCUCCUGCACAGCUCCUGUUAAGCAAUUUACUGGUGUCCUCUUUGGCACAUGUCGGGAUACAUACUUGAUCCUUCUCCCUUCUGGUGUGGUAAGCAAAAUUGACUUACUAGCACAUUCAAUAUUCCCUUCAUACUUUGAUAACCAAUCCAUGCCUAAUAUCACAUCCAAUCCUUGGGAUUCCAAUACUAUUAGGUCUGAGGGAAAAACAUAGUUACCAAUCCUUAAUGGUAACUGAUCACACCAUCGACUAGCCAUAUACUCUGCUCCAGGCGAGGUUACUAACAUGGGUGACCUAAGGGCUUGGGUUGACAGUUUAUACUUAUCCACAAAUCCCCUUGAGAUGUAUGAAUGCAAUGCGCCAGUAUCAAAAAGAACGAGUGCAGUAAAUGACUUAACCAAAAACUUACCUAUUACUGCAUCAUGCUGAGCUUCAACCUCCUCCACAUUAACGUGGUUCACCUGUCCCCUGUUGAAAGGGUCCGGCUUCUUCCCAGAGCUUCCAUUGCCAUUUCCAUUUUGUAAUUCAGGACAUUCAUUGGCAUAAUGUCCGGUCUUCGAACACUUAAAGCAAGUGACUUGGCUCAGGUCUUUCUUGGCUGGGGUUGAUGGGUUGGUGCGAUUCUGGCCGUUGCUUCCUCCAUUACCAUUACCAUUCCUGGUGCCAUUGUGAUUGUGUGAGCUACCUCCUCCAUGGGUAUGCUGAAAAUGUCCUCCCGGUCUAGGGGUAAAACGUGGCUUCUGCUGAGCUCCUGAAUUGUAUUUCCCUUGUCCAUACUUCCUCUUGUGGUUCUUAAUUUGCUACUGCUUGCCUUCAAUCAUAAGAGCAUGAUCUACCAACUCCUGAUAGUUGUUGAAGGUUGCUACCAUCAACUGCAUGCUCAACUCAUCAUUCAGUCCUUCUAGAAACUUCUCCUGCUUUGCUGCAUCCGUAGCAACAUCAUCUGGGGCAUAACGUGCUAACUUACUACGGUCCUCCACAUACUGGCCAACUGUCCGUCCUCCUUGGUGCAAGUUGCGGAACUCACGCUUCUUCAUGGCCAUAGCUCCUGCUGAAACAUGGGCAGUACGAAAGGCCUGUUGAAACUGGUCCCAUGUGACAGUGUCGACAGGGAAAGUGGCUGUGAAAUUCUCCCACCAUGAUGCUGCGGGUCCUUCAAGCUGAUGUGCGGCAAACUUCACCUUCUCUGCAUCCGUGCAUCCUACUGUGGUCAACUCUCUAGCUGUCUUGCGGAGCCAAUCAUCUGCUACUAUCGGCUCGGUGCUACUGGAAAACACCGGUGGAUUCAGCCUAAGAAAACGCGCUAAGUGAUCAACAGGUGGUGGUGGUGGUGGGUUGUUGUUGUUGUUCCCCUGAUUCUGAUUCUGGACUAGCAACUGCAUCAAUGUGUUCUACUGCUGGAUCAACUAUGUGAGCUCUGGUGGAAAGGAAAAUCCGGGGUCAUGUCUCGGAGGCAUCUGAGGGUUUAGAAAAGAUGAGAUGUAAGAAUAGAGGGGUCUAAAGAGAAAACACUACCCAUAUGCACAUGAGGCAAAAGCAAACAAUUCACUUCAUUCAAUCAAACAAGGGCAUACAAUCGAUGUAACUAUCGCAAAAGUGCUCGGACUACUAUAUUUACAUGGUGGACUACUACUACUGAUGAGGUGGUCUACUAGAAAUAUUCUUCAGUUGCAGACUCCAUGAUAUCUGCUCCAGCUUCGUCAACAUAAUCAUCAUCGCUAUCGUCUGGAUUCGAAUUCUGUGUCGUCGAUGAUGAUGUAGUCUUCCGGGCGAAUCUCCUUGGGUUCUUCAUCUUCAUCUACUGGUGUAGGGCCUCCCAUAAAUAUCCCGAUCUUCUUUGUUAGGUCGGCAUUCUUAUCCACUAAUACUUCAAUUUCCUCUUCAUAAUUUUCACGUGUAGCCUUGAGUUCUUCCUCCAGUUCCUUGAUUAUUGUCUUAGCCUUCUUCAGAUCUAUCAUGUCGGCGCACAUCUGGUUUUCCUGUCGUCGAAUGUGAUGGUUUAAGUCCUGGAUAAAAGCAGCAAUUGAUCUAUCCUUCCGGGUGCUGAUCAUCUCCCAGUGCUCAUCUCGGCGUCCACAAAUCUGGUAGAUAGUAUCCUUGAGAUCAUUGUGGUAGACUUCUCCAAUGUGUCCCAUGGCGAUGUGAGCUGCCAUGCUCUUUCCUAGACUCCAAGUUGGUGCAUCAAAAGAAAACUCUAUGGGCUCAGUGACUGGCAUGAACGUCCUUCCUGAAACUUGAACUUGAAUCAUCCAGCGCUCUUCUUCAGGUAAAGUGGCGUUGUAGGUUCCGGUGAAGCUUGGUACUCCUAUGUUCAGGUAUCUAGUGACUUCCUUCAAGUGUCGUCCAAAGGGUGUAUCUUCAUUCGGUUGCGUGAACUUGUUCCUUGCAUCCGCCAUCCUAAAAGAGUAAAAAAGAUGAGGAGUCAGAAGACAAGAGGGUGAAUAGUGUUCUAGAUCUUUAGCUUAAUGGUCGUGUCCUACAGUCAGCGUGUGCUCUGAUACCAUCUCUAUAGCAACCACACCUCAAACAGUCUGAUCUCUGUGCUCUGGUGUCAUCCCUGGAUCAGUAAUGCUGACACCACACAGUACGCGGAGGAUUUAUAACAGAGUAGCAAUCACACACUUAUUACAUCGAGUGUCUCCAUAGAGAACUUAUUACAAUAAAUAUGGCUUAAGGCCAUCUAUAACGAUAACAGCGGAAGGCUUGGAAGAUAAGUGAGUCCAUCAACUCCAACGGCAUCACUGAGUAUAGAACCACGACCUAAAAACUCCUUAAUCGUCGUUUGAAAAGUCUGCAACAUUAACGUUGCAGCGCGAAACGGGUCAGCACAUGGAAUAUGCUGGCAAGAUAACACAUAGAGAAUAAUGGAAUGAAACAGCUAUACUAUAUGCAUAUUUGGCUGGUGGAAAGCUCUAUGGUUACAGUUUUGCGAAAAGCCAAUUUUUCCCUACUACAAAGGAAUAAAUUUAAUUACUAUCAUGGUGGUUGUUAAACAUUGAGAAUGGUUGACAGCAUUCUCAAUCCCAAUUAAGCAUCAUCAUUAAACAAAGCCCAACAAAAUUAAUUUAGGGUAACAUGUUGAGAUUCACAUGAAAAUCCAGGUACUAGAUACUCAAGAUGUCCAUAACCGGGGACACGGCUAACCAUGAUUAGUUUAUUACACUCUGCAGAGGUUUGCGCACUUUUCCCCACAAGACUCGAUCGCCUCCGUUUGGUUUCUCGCACUACAUGGUGUUUGAGAAGACGGAUGACCGAGACAUAGUCUUUCAGAAGCGCUAGCACCUUACGAUCGGGUAGACCAUACCACCUACAUCCCCUACAUCUGCUAGUCUACCACUGUAAGAGUUCGCAUGACUUAGUCAACUAUGCUAGAGCCCAUAAUAGCUUGUGGCUGCACACGGAACUUUCUAGUAUGAAUAGUCUCAUGAUCCCUUUGAGCCUGGGUGGCGGUCCAAAAGAAAACAGGCAGUCCAAAAGAAAACAGGCAAGUCCUGGAAUACCCAGGUGCCUCAGUCCACCCAGAUGUGUGUUUAAGUUGCCACCUUAGAUAAACCAUUAAUUAACAAUCUCACAUCUGUCAUGGAUAUCACUCACCCAAUCCACGUCUACUAGCAUAGCAUGGCAUAAUAAGCAAACGUAGAAGUAACUCCCAAAGGUUUGAUAAUAAACAGGUAAUAGGUACUACCUCAACUACUUCCCACCCCACAAUUUAAUUAGAUCCUAAUCAUGCAAUGUGUGAGGAUGGAUCUAAUGCAAUAAAACUGGGUAGUAGGAAAGGUAUGAUCAAAAUUUUACAGUAGCAAAAACUUGUUUAAGUUGAUUAAACGGAUAGAGGGUUUCGAGACGAAACUCCAGGUGCUUGAAUCGCCUGAUUCCGACAAACGAGCGAAAAGUUAUACUAAAAAAAAUCGGAUCAGGAAUCACGAUAAGAAAAAUCGUGGAUUAAAUCCGAGAAAAGAAAAAUGACGAACGUUCGCUAGAACGAACGAACGGACGAACGCUCGCUAUUUAAAUAAACCGAAAAAACCGAUCUAUUUAAAAAAAACUGAAACAAAAAAAACCGACGAAAAAACCAAACGGUUUUUCGAAAAAAACAAAAAACAACCGGCACAGAAAACGAGGCGGCGACGGACCUCGGGCGUCGUGCGGCGGCGGCGGGCGCUGGGGCGGCGGGCGGCGCUGGGGGCGGCUAGGGUUUGGCUGGGGCUGGGCCUCUCCCCCCCGGCUUAUAUAUCCUAACGGGCCGGGAGUCCUAGUCGGACACGAUCCUAGGUCGGUUCGUUUUUUUAUAUAUUACGCGCGGAAGAAAAAAAUAAAAAGAAAUACUAAACAGACUCCAAAAAUUCCGAAAUAAAUUUUUAGGGGCUUCUAAAAUCAAGCCGCACAAGGUGAACAUUUAUUUAGGGCCUAAAUGCAAGUUUGAAAAACGCACAUUUUUCCUAAAUUCAAAUAAAAUAACGAAAAACCGAAAUAAAAUCUUAUUUGAUUUUAUUAUUAAAUCCUCAAUAUUUCUUUAUUUUGGGAAAGUCAUUUUAUUUGCUCUCUCAUAUUUUUGUAAUAGAAGUAAUUGAUGAUAAAAUAAAUAAAAUCAAAUGAUCUUAUUCUCAAAAUUUGAGAAAACUCAAAUACGAAAAUAAUGAAAUCCCCAACUCUCUCCGUGGGUCUUUGAGUUGCGUAGAAUUUCUAGGAUCAACCAAAAUGCAAAAUAAAAUAUGAUAUGCAUAGAUGAUCUAAUGUAUAACAUUCCAAAUUGAAAAUUUGGGAUGUUACAUAGGGUUAUUUUUAUGCUCAUUAUUGUUGAUUAUUAGCUAAGUUCUCUCAAACUAAAAGUUUUCCAUGCUUUCAUUCAUGAAAGCGAAUGGUUGGGUACUUGUGACCCAAAAGAUGAUCAAGAAAGGUCAUAACGUGAGAUAGUAUGUUCUCUCUAAAGAAUGGUUUCAAAAGAAAAGAGAUUGAUCAUUGAGAGUCUUGGUUGACGAAUGUCUUUCAUGUACUCUCUAUGAUUUCAGAUAAAACAAGCAACAUGCGUGUUUAAUUUGACCAACGUCGGAUCAAGCAUGUGUGUCAAAGAGCAUUAGGAUUUAUUCCUAAAUUUGAUGAUUGAAUAAUGCAGUCAAAAGAGCCAAUUCUGGCAUUUAUGUCCCUUACAAGGAAUUACCCGCAUGGCGGAAAAAGAUGAUUAUGAUAAAACCCGCAUGGCAGGAAAAGUCUGGGAAAAUACGUGUGUAACGGGGUAAACUUGACAUAAUAUUAUGUCAAAAUCUCUUAUGGAGGGAGAAAUUCUGGCAAAGGACUUAUCCUGUAUGAUAGGAGAAAGAUAUGAUGACUCAUGUGCUUUUAAUGUGUCCCACUCUGGGAGAAAAGUAUGGAGUAGCUAUUAUGCUUUCCUAGUAUCGACUGUACACCUUGUGUGAACGGUCAUUAACCACUCAAUAAAUCCAAAGAGAAUAAAAGUGAGAGACGAACCUAAAGAUAAGAUUGAUAUGCAAGUGUGACUUGCAAAAGUACUAAUAAUAAAGAACUUUGUUGAGUUUCUAAAAUGGAAUGAGGAAAAAGUACUCCCAUAUCAGUUAACAGAUAACUUCAUUUCGCAUGAAGUAAUCAGAUGAAUGAAAUAUAUUGAAGUUUCCUCAAUUCACAAAAGUUAUGAAUGGUUUUCGAAAUUGUGGCAGAAAGAAAUAUUAGAUAAAUUAAGAAUGAUGAAACUCCCCUAUACUUUAGAUGAUGUGAUGCACAUUAUGCAUCUAAAGUGAUCCAUUAAUGAAGAAUGUGAUCGUCUGGGGGAGUACGACGGUCGGAAUAAUACCCCUAAAGAACAGAAAUAGUUGUAUUCCUAGAUCUUUUAUAGUUUCGACAGCAGACUAAGGAAUACUAAGGCGGUGCUUAAAAGUGCUAUAAAGAAGAAAGUUUUAACAGAAUAAACCCAAAUAAUAAAGUUUAAAGAUACCCCAUUUUAGUGAAGAUGGAGUAAUCUGGGGGAGCAUGGUAUGAAAAUACCAAAGACUAUAGAAUAAAUUUGCCUCUUGGCAAUGACAGAGCAACAACAGCCACAUAUGAAAGAAGUGCCAGUACCUGAGACACAGAUGGUCUCAAGGAAUGAGAAAAUCUGAUACUUCUGAUUACUAUAAAGUCUAUGUUAGCGAAAUUCAAAUGGAGAUUGAGUCCACCUCAUUUAAAGUGCUCAAUCGAGCUUUGAGAAGUGUAUGUUUGUCUAAAUGAUAAGAGACUAUAUGAGAUGAAAUAAAAUUGGUGAAUCCCAAUGAUGUUUGGGACUCAUAAGUAAUUUCCAAUGGUGCAUAAACAGUAGGCUAUAAAAGGUCUACAAGGUCAAUGUGUUUCCAAAGGAAAGAUUUUGUGCAAAGAGAAUGAAUAGAUUACAAUGAGUGUUAGUGGCACAUCAUGAUCGACAUCAUGAUCUGAGUUACAUCAGAUGAAACUAAAGAACACAAGGGAUACUACUUCAAGAAGUUUUUAUGGACUAGAGCAAGUCUCUAGACAGUGGCAUUUAAAGUUAAAAGAAUGAGAUGUUAUUUUGGGUUAAAGAAAAUGAGAGGACAAUUGUAUUCAUGGAAAGUUAUAGAAUAGGAAAUUCAUCCUAAUCCUGUGCAUGUGGAUGGCGUCCUACUUGCUAGUGGUCAUGUCAAUCUACUGCAGGAGGAAAAAAGAAGUUCUUGUCCUCAAAGUUCAAAAGAAUGUUCUCGGUAGAGUGUCUCUCGUUAUAAUUAUCGAGAUUCACCAAGAAAAGAAUAAAAGGGGGUAUUCGGAAUGUCGCAUGGACAUGCUAAGAAAGGUCUCUAAAGUAUGCAUGCGAGAAAACCUACGCCCGUUCUUAUAGUCAAGGGUAAUGGAACCAGAAACUAUGGUGUUCCAAAAGUUGAUGAGAAAAGAUUGAAAACGGAUAUGGUACCAUAUGCUUCAGCUGUUGGAAGUUUAAUGAAUGCAAAAGUAUGAUUUUACCCUAAUGUAGUUCACGUAUCCGGGUUGUUUUGGCAAUGUCCAGUCCAUAUAUAGACCACUAGAAUGGAGUCAAAGAUAUCGGCCUCAUGCUGAAAGAAAUAAGUUCUCUCAAAAUAUUGUGAGUACAAAGACAGGACUUGUGAAAUGUAUAGCAAAAUCGACAAUUGUCGCUAACUUUCACACUUGGAGUUUUGGUGUGGAAAUGCUCCAAAGAAUGAAACAAUUAUCAUCAAUGUGAUUCAAAUAUAUGUUAUAGCUUGAUAUGAGGCUGAGGGACAGGCAAAAUGGUUAUGAAGACCUGUACCCGGAGUUGAUAAUGGUUGAUAACAACGAUAACCAUUUUAAGCUUUUCGCUCCUAUGACAACGAGUCAAGUGUUGAUGCCAAACACACUGACAUAGAGUUAUGCGUUGUAAAGGAGAAAGUCCGGAAUUAUGUAGAAAUGCUUGAAUUAUAAAAGAAACAGAUAAGUGUUUGUAGAUCUGCUUAUUAAAGGCUUACCGCCCAGUGUGUUCGGAGGACACACAGUCGACAUGGGUUUUAUGGACAAUAAAGGGCCCAAGGUUAAAGAAUUUGUUUCAAAACAGAGAGGUACGUUGUGGCUGUCUGAUUCUAUCGGCAAUUGAGCUGUGACGAUGAAACAUGUUCUAUGUAUUGAUCUGUUAUGAAAUGAGUAAAGUAAAAGUAUAAGGUCAAAAGUAAAAGUUGAGAUCAAGGGGGAGAAUGUUAGGAUGAUCUCCACCGUGUGGGCCCAAUGGCCCACCGGGCCCUUAGAUCCGCGCCCUAAUCGGGGCGCUCAACCCACUAUGGUUGACGGCCCCCUGUCACCUGCACUAUAUAAAGAGAUGGGGGUCAGCGGCUCGCACCACGAGGUUCGUCGCAACGCGGUACACCCCACCUAAUCCCCUACCGAUCUAGGGUUAGUGCAGUGCUGAUGGGAAGCGCCGCCACCACCUUGCCCACUACUCUCUGCCAUCACCGGCCACUGUCACCAUGGCCGGCCCCGGUGGCUCCUCGAGCCACAAGGAAAAGGUAAUACUCCCAUACCACUACCAGAAUCCCCAUGCCCACUGGAUCAACAGAUCCUAUCAA